Non-coding RNA from Ictidomys tridecemlineatus (thirteen-lined ground squirrel), 69 nucleotides. The record is from Rfam. Lineage: Eukaryota; Metazoa; Chordata; Mammalia; Rodentia; Sciuridae.
GGGGUUGUGGCUCAGUAGUAGAGCGCCUGCCUUGCACGUGUGAGACCCUGGGUUCGAUCCUCAGCACCA